Molecule: ribosomal RNA, 164 nt
Filed under: uncultured bacterium
Lineage: Bacteria
Description: partial 16S rRNA
Rfam family: Bacterial small subunit ribosomal RNA
Source: RNAcentral
UAGGGAAUCUUCCACAAUGGACGCAGGUCUGAUGGAGUAACGCCGCGUGAGUGAAGAAGGUCUUCGGAUCGUAAAACUCUGUUGUUAGAGAAGAACACGAGUGAGAGUAACUGUUCAUUCGAUGACGGUAUCUAACCAGCAAGUCACGGCUAACUACGUGCCAG